This 321-nucleotide ribosomal RNA is filed under the name uncultured bacterium. Its description in RNAcentral is "bacterial SSU rRNA". It matches the Rfam family "Bacterial small subunit ribosomal RNA", at positions 338 to 671 of the family's 1533-position model. The record is from RNAcentral.
CCUACGGGAGGCAGCAGUGGGGAAUAUUGGGCAAUGGACGAAAGUCUGACCCAGCGACGCCGCGUGCGGGAUGAAGGCCUUCGGGUUGUAAACCGCUUUCAGUAGGGAAGAAGCGAAAGUGACGGUACCUGCAGAAGAAGCACCGGCUAACUAUGUGCCAGCAGCCGCGGUAAUACAUAGGGUGCAAGCGUUGUCCGGAAUUAUUGGGCGUAAAGAGCUCGUAGGUGGUUUGUUACGUCGGAUGUGAAAAUCUGGGGCUCAACCCCAGACCUGCAUUCGAUACGGGCAAACUAGAGUUUGGUAGGGGAGACUGGAAUUCCU